RNAcentral lists this long non-coding RNA (568 nucleotides) under Mus pahari (shrew mouse). Its description in RNAcentral is "lncRNA (MGP_PahariEiJ_G0003685.1)". Lineage: Eukaryota; Metazoa; Chordata; Mammalia; Rodentia; Muridae. The record is from RNAcentral.
GUGUAACAUGACAGCUGCCAAAAAUGCAUAACUUGUGACUCUCCAUUGAGAAGUCCACACCUGGCCUUUUUGAGGGGCUCCGGUGAGAAGCUUGCACCUACGCUUUUCUGACAGCCAUUCUAUUAACACACCUCUGCUUCACGGGCUGCUCUUGUCAAUCUUUUCUACAUCAGUGCCAGGAAAUAGGGGUUUGCAAAGGAACUCAAAGAUUGAAGUUCCCCCAAAAGAUCGCGGCUCCUCCUCUAGCUGCGGCAGGCUACUGCUUAAAGAGCUGUCACUCCCGUCCCAGUCCCUGCUGACAGUCCGGCGGUGUGGGGUACGGGAGGACUUUACAAGUAACCCCUGUAAAGCAUCACACGGCGGGAACCAGAGGCUUGAGUCCCAGCCUUGGGCAGUGACUUUGGGGGGGAUAAAUAAUCUCUGUCUCUCAAGUAAGAACUGUGCGGAUCUCACGGGUUUGAAGAUUGGCUAGCCCGUGUGGAACACUGGGAAAGGCGUCCUACGGCCGGCUAGGCUGCCGCCCCCUUGGAUGCUGUGGUUGUAGGGUGGGUGACCGACCGACAUCACU